AUGAGCUUGGUUCCUGUACUGGUGCUUAUGAUACUUUUUUCCCUGAGAGGAACCGGAGCCCAGUCAGUGACCCAGCCUGACGUCCACGUCACUGUCUCUGAAGGAGCCCCUCUGGAGCUGAGGUGCAACUAUUCAUCUUCUGUUUCACCGUAUCUCUUCUGGUACAUGCAGUAUCCCAACCAAGGACUCCAUCUUCUCCUCAAGUACACGUCUGGAAUCAGCCUUGUUCCAGGCAUCAAAGGUUUCAAGGCUGAAUUUAGGAGGAACGAAACCUCCUUUCACCUGAAGAAACCCUCAGCCCAUUGGAGCGACUCGGCUGAGUACUUCUGUGCUGUGAGUGACACAGUGCCUGUGACUGCAGGGGGAGCUGAACACAAACUUCUGGUGAAUCUGAGGCUUUCAGUGACUCAAGGGAUCAACCUGGGGUGUUUUCAGUAA
This is a non-coding RNA of Equus quagga, 438 nucleotides long. Lineage: Eukaryota; Metazoa; Chordata; Mammalia; Perissodactyla; Equidae. The record is from the annotation of a RefSeq genome assembly.